RNAcentral lists this ribosomal RNA (303 nucleotides) under uncultured bacterium. Its description in RNAcentral is "partial 16S ribosomal RNA". It matches the Rfam family "Bacterial small subunit ribosomal RNA", at positions 507 to 809 of the family's 1533-position model. The record is from RNAcentral.
AGCAGUCGCCGCGGGAAUACGAAGGGGGCUAGCGUUGCUCGGAAUGACUGGGCGUAAAGGGCGCGUAGGCGGUUUUGACAGUCAGAUGUGAAAUUCCUGGGCUUAACCUGGGGGCUGCAUUUGAGACGUCAAGACUAGAGUGUGAGAGAGGGUUGUGGAAUUCCCAGUGUAGAGGUGAAAUUCGUAGAUAUUGGGAAGAACACCGGUGGCGAAGGCGGCAACCUGGCUCAUUACUGACGCUGAGGCGCGAAAGCGUGGGGAGCAAACAGGAUUAGAUACCCGAGUAGUCCCUGUCUCUUAUAA